AUAAGAAUAUGACCGUGCUUAGAAUCGCGGUGAAAAUUGGACAAGUCAAGACUAACUUGUCAGUAAACUAUAUAUGGCUCUAUCAUAUUUAGUUUGGCAAAAUCAUCAGUACAUGUAAAUAAAAUAUAGUUAAAGACAAAAUCUGAUACAUAUGUCUCAUUAGAACUUGUUUAAUGUCAUUAGACAUUUGUAAACAAACGGUCGGCCAUUUUUUUUUUGGUUAAUCACGUGUUACAAAAACAAUUGUAACAAACACACGCCAAUACUUUGUCGUAUUUAACCAGGAAAUACUGACUCCGACAGUUCUUAUUAAAAAUAAAUAUACAUGUAAAAAGUAUACUAUUCGGUAAAAAAUGAUAAUUUUGAUUAAACAUUAUUUAUUUUAAACUAUCCCAAGAUGCACUUUUCCAAGAUUUAGCGGGUUCUGAUUGGUCAGUAUUGGCGCACUUUAUGAUUCCGAGCGAAGGUUAAAAUGGACAAGAAGGUGCUGUUGUAAAAUUGAGAAUUGAGAAGCAUUAAUUGCCUCUACAACAAGGAGAUAAUGCAGGAACGAAGAACUCAUGUCAAGCAUUGACAGCAUACAAAGUCAAUGUUUCCGGUGAUUAGUUGCAUCCUCUGUUCGGUGAUUCGGAUGAAUAUUUUGACCAGCUGGACGAUGUGAACGCAAGAUAAAUAGAACAGACAUAAAGUACAGCCCAGUGAGAGGAACAAGUUAAUCGCCAGAAGAAGAAUUUUAAUGCUACCACUGUCCAGAACUACUAAGUCUGCUGUAGCCAUGAUGUGAUCAUAUGAGUGCUUCACCGGUCUGGACAAUGCUCGAAAGUCCCCCAAAAAGGCCUAUUUCCAUAAACUACGACUCGGGUUACAUGAACAACAGCCAAGGACACUCCUUAAUGAUUCGAAUGGAGACAUCUCUACGUCCCGACUAAACCUCUGCAGAACAAGACUUUUUAACUGUACAGUAUUCUCAUUUCAAAAAACCUAUAAACUAUAAAAGUACUUUUUUAUAUGAUCAAAUACAAGUAUAUUACAAUGUCUGUCUGUAAGCUAGAAUCUUAGAAAAUCACAUGGUUUUGACUUAUUAAAUGAUUGAUUAGACCUUGCAGAUAUUAACUUUCAUUUUCUUAAAUAAUUUGUUAUACAUGUAUUUGCAAAUAUUGCAUAAAAUAUUAGACUCCAUGUAACAUAUAUCCCCACACCUCCAAAUUGAUAAGUGUGAACUAC
Long non-coding RNA from Magallana angulata, 1224 nucleotides. RefSeq lists it as uncharacterized. Lineage: Eukaryota; Metazoa; Mollusca; Bivalvia; Ostreida; Ostreidae. The transcript has 3 exons. The record is from RefSeq and is a predicted model, not a curated record.